This 497-nucleotide ribosomal RNA is filed under the name uncultured bacterium. RNAcentral's name for it is "partial 16S ribosomal RNA". It matches the Rfam family "Bacterial small subunit ribosomal RNA", at positions 28 to 507 of the family's 1533-position model. The record is from RNAcentral.
GAUGAACGCUGGCGGCGUGCCUAAUACAUACAAGUCGAGCGAACAGACGAGGAGCUUGCUCCUCUGACGUUAGCGGCGGACGGGUGAGUAACACGUGGAUAACCUACCUAUAAGACUGGGAUAACUUCGGGAAACCGGAGCUAAUACCGGAUAAUAUAUUGAACCGCAUGGUUCAAUAGUGAAAGACGGUUUUGCUGUCACUUAUAGAUGGAUCCGCGCCGCAUUAGCUAGUUGGUAAGGUAACGGCUUACCAAGGCGACGAUGCGUAGCCGACCUGAGAGGGUGAUCGGCCACACUGGAACUGAGACACGGUCCAGACUCCUACGGGAGGCAGCAGUAGGGAAUCUUCCGCAAUGGGCGAAAGCCUGACGGAGCAACGCCGCGUGAGUGAUGAAGGUCUUCGGAUCGUAAAACUCUGUAAUUAGGGAAGAACAAAUGUGUAAGUAACUAUGCACGUCUUGACGGUACCUAAUCAGAAAGCCACGGCUAACUACGUG